This 274-nucleotide ribosomal RNA is filed under the name uncultured bacterium. RNAcentral describes it as "partial 16S ribosomal RNA". It matches the Rfam family "Bacterial small subunit ribosomal RNA", at positions 523 to 796 of the family's 1533-position model. The record is from RNAcentral.
CUACGGAAGGUGCAAGCGUUGUUCGGAUUUACUGGGCGUAAAGAGAGUGUAGGUUGUUUAUUAAGUCGGAUGUGAAAUCCCGGGGCUCAACCUCGGAACUGCAUUCGAUACUGGUAGACUAGAGUUCGGGAGGGGUAAGCGGAAUUCCGUGUGUAGCAGUGAAAUGCGUAGAUAUACGGAGGAACACCUGAGGCGAAGGCGGCUUACUGGACCGAUACUGACACUGAGACUCGAAAGCGUGGGUAGCAAACAGGAUUAGAAACCCGAGUAGUCC